This 352-nucleotide ribosomal RNA is filed under the name uncultured bacterium. RNAcentral describes it as "bacterial SSU rRNA". It matches the Rfam family "Bacterial small subunit ribosomal RNA", at positions 917 to 1264 of the family's 1533-position model. The record is from RNAcentral.
GGGCCCGCACAAGCGGUGGAGCAUGUGGUUUAAUUCGAAGCAACGCGCAGAACCUUACCCAGGCUUGACAUCCUCAGAACCUCUUGGAAACAAGAGGGUGCCCUCUCACGAGGGAAUUGAGUGACAGGUGCUGCAUGGCUGUCGUCAGCUCGUGCUGUGAGGUGUUCGGUUAAGUCCGGCAACGAGCGCAACCCCUGUCGCUAGUUACCAGCAUUUAGUUGGGCACUCUAGAGAGACUGCCGGUGAUAAACCGGAGGAAGGUGUGGAUGACGUCAAGUCAUCAUGCCCCUUACAUCCUGGGCUACACACGUACUACAAUGCUACGGACAAAGGGCAGCAAGUUCGCGAGGAC